RNAcentral lists this ribosomal RNA (730 nucleotides) under Enterobacter kobei. Its description in RNAcentral is "bacterial SSU rRNA". It matches the Rfam family "Bacterial small subunit ribosomal RNA", at positions 17 to 736 of the family's 1533-position model. Lineage: Bacteria; Pseudomonadati; Pseudomonadota; Gammaproteobacteria; Enterobacterales; Enterobacteriaceae. The record is from RNAcentral.
UNCUGGCUCAGAUUGAACGCUGGCGGCAGGCCUAACACAUGCAAGUCGAACGGUAACAGAGAGCAGCUUGCUGCUCUGCUGACGAGUGGCGGACGGGUGAGUAAUGUCUGGGGAUCUGCCCGAUGGAGGGGGAUAACCACUGGAAACGGUGGCUAAUACCGCAUAACGUCGCAAGACCAAAGUGGGGGACCUUCGGGCCUCACACCAUCGGAUGAACCCAGAUGGGAUUAGCUAGUAGGUGGGGUAACGGCUCACCUAGGCGACGAUCCCUAGCUGGUCUGAGAGGAUGACCAGCCACACUGGAACUGAGACACGGUCCAGACUCCUACGGGAGGCAGCAGUGGGGAAUAUUGCACAAUGGGCGCAAGCCUGAUGCAGCCAUGCCGCGUGUAUGAAGAAGGCCUUCGGGUUGUAAAGUACUUUCAGCGGGGAGGAAGGGAUGAAGCUUAAUACGCUUCGUCAUUGACGUUACCCGCAGAAGAAGCACCGGCUAACUCCGUGCCAGCAGCCGCGGUAAUACGGAGGGUGCAAGCGUUAAUCGGAAUUACUGGGCGUAAAGCGCACGCAGGCGGUCUGUCAAGUCGGAUGUGAAAUCCCCGGGCUCAACCCGGGAACUGCAUUCGAAACUGGCAGGCUAGAGUCUCGUAGAGGGGGGUAGAAUUCCAGGUGUAGCGGUGAAAUGCGUAGAGAUCUGGAGGAAUACCGGUGGCGAAGGCGGCCCCCUGGACGA